Molecule: unclassified non-coding RNA, 375 nt
Filed under: uncultured Actinomycetes bacterium
Lineage: Bacteria; Bacillati; Actinomycetota; Actinomycetes
Description: uncultured actinobacterium contains 16S-23S intergenic spacer region
Source: RNAcentral
UCCCGCUUGCACGGGCAGUUCCCCAAGAGUGCCCGACUUGACGCUGGCAACAUGGGGUGAGGGUUGCGCUCGUUGCGGGACUUAACCCAACAUCUCACGACACGAGCUGACGACAACCAUGCACCACCUGUAAACCGACCGCAAGCGGGGGACCUGUUUCCAGGUCUUACCGGUUCAUGUCAAGCCUUGGUAAGGUUCUUCGCGUUGCAUCGAAUUAAAGAACAUGCUCCGCUGCUUGUGCGGGCCCCCGCCAAUUCUUUUGAGUUUUAGCCUUGCGGCCGUACUCCCCAGGCGGAACACUUAACGCGUUGGCUGCGGCACAGAGGGAUUCGACUCCCCCCACACCUAGUGUUCAUCGUUUACGGCAUGGACUAC